GACGAACGCUGGCGGCGUGCUUAACACAUGCAAGUCGAGCGGAAAGGCCCUUCGGGGUACUCGAGCGGCGAACGGGUGAGUAACACGUGAGUAAUCUGCCCUUGGCUUUGGGAUAACUACCGGAAACGGUGGCUAAUACCGGAUACGACAACCGUCUGCAUGGGCUGGUUGUGGAAAGUUUUUUCGGCCAGGGAUGUGCUCGCGGCCUAUCAGCUUGUUGGUGGGGUAAUGGCCUACCAAGGCUUCGACGGGUAGCCGGCCUGAGAGGGUGACCGGCCACACUGGGACUGAGACCCGGCCCAGACUCCUACGGGAGGCAGCAGUGGGGAAUAUUGGACAAUGGGCGGAAGCCUGAUCCAGCAACGCCGCGUGAGGGAUGACGGCCUUCGGGUUGUAAACCUCUUUCAGUACCGACGAAGCGCCGAUGAUGGUGGUGACGGUAGGUACAGAAGAAGCACCGGCCAACUACGUG
RNAcentral lists this ribosomal RNA (472 nucleotides) under uncultured bacterium. RNAcentral's name for it is "partial 16S ribosomal RNA". It matches the Rfam family "Bacterial small subunit ribosomal RNA", at positions 28 to 507 of the family's 1533-position model. The record is from RNAcentral.